CAGCAGCCGCGGUAAUACGAAGGGGGCUAGCGUUGUUCGGAAUUACUGGGCGUAAAGCGCACGUAGGCGGAUAUUUAAGUCAGGGGUGAAAUCCCAGAGCUCAACUCUGGAACUGCCUUUGAUACUGGGUAUCUUGAGUAUGGAAGAGGUGAGUGGAAUUCCGAGUGUAGAGGUGAAAUUCGUAGAUAUUCGGAGGAACACCAGUGGCGAAGGCGGCUCACUGGUCCAUUACUGACGCUGAGGUGCGCAAGCGUGGGGAGCAAACAGGAUUAGAUACCCGUGUAGUCCCUGUCUCUUAUAC
Molecule: ribosomal RNA, 301 nt
Filed under: uncultured bacterium
Lineage: Bacteria
Description: partial 16S ribosomal RNA
Rfam family: Bacterial small subunit ribosomal RNA
Source: RNAcentral